AAUGGUGGCUUUAGCACGGGUGUUCACCUCUUCCCAUUCCGAACAGAGCAGUUAAGCCCCGUAGCGCCCAUGGUACUGCCUUCACCGGUGGGAGAGUAGGUCGCCGCCAACC
Molecule: ribosomal RNA, 112 nt
Filed under: Hymenobacter erythromyxa
Lineage: Bacteria; Pseudomonadati; Bacteroidota; Cytophagia; Cytophagales; Hymenobacteraceae
Source: RNAcentral